GGUAAUUUAGCUCAGUGGCAUAAGCACCUGCCUUGCAAGCAGGCAGUCGUGAGUUCAAUCGCUGGUACCG
This 70-nucleotide transfer RNA is filed under the name Cavia porcellus (domestic guinea pig). It matches the Rfam family "tRNA". From Rfam's summary of the family: Transfer RNA (tRNA) molecules are approximately 80 nucleotides in length. Their secondary structure includes four short double-helical elements and three loops (D, anti-codon, and T loops). The record is from Rfam by way of RNAcentral. Lineage: Eukaryota; Metazoa; Chordata; Mammalia; Rodentia; Caviidae.